Molecule: ribosomal RNA, 997 nt
Filed under: Enterococcus sp.
Lineage: Bacteria; Bacillati; Bacillota; Bacilli; Lactobacillales; Enterococcaceae
Description: bacterial SSU rRNA
Rfam family: Bacterial small subunit ribosomal RNA
Source: RNAcentral
CGUACGCUUCUUUUUCCACCGGAGCUUGCUCCACCGGAAAAAGAAGAGUGGCGAACGGGUGAGUAACACGUGGGUAACCUGCCCAUCAGAAGGGGAUAACACUUGGAAACAGGUGCUAAUACCGUAUAACAAUCGAAACCGCAUGGUUUUGAUUUGAAAGGCGCUUUCGGGUGUCGCUGAUGGAUGGACCCGCGGUGCAUUAGCUAGUUGGUGAGGUAACGGCUCACCAAGGCCACGAUGCAUAGCCGACCUGAGAGGGUGAUCGGCCACAUUGGGACUGAGACACGGCCCAAACUCCUACGGGAGGCAGCAGUAGGGAAUCUUCGGCAAUGGACGAAAGUCUGACCGAGCAACGCCGCGUGAGUGAAGAAGGUUUUCGGAUCGUAAAACUCUGUUGUUAGAGAAGAACAAGGAUGAGAGUAACUGUUCAUCCCUUGACGGUAUCUAACCAGAAAGCCACGGCUAACUACGUGCCAGCAGCCGCGGUAAUACGUAGGUGGCAAGCGUUGUCCGGAUUUAUUGGGCGUAAAGCGAGCGCAGGCGGUUUCUUAAGUCUGAUGUGAAAGCCCCCGGCUCAACCGGGGAGGGUCAUUGGAAACUGGGAGACUUGAGUGCAGAAGAGGAGAGUGGAAUUCCAUGUGUAGCGGUGAAAUGCGUAGAUAUAUGGAGGAACACCAGUGGCGAAGGCGGCUCUCUGGUCUGUAACUGACGCUGAGGCUCGAAAGCGUGGGGAGCAAACAGGAUUAGAUACCCUGGUAGUCCACGCCGUAAACGAUGAGUGCUAAGUGUUGGAGGGUUUCCGCCCUUCAGUGCUGCAGCUAACGCAUUAAGCACUCCGCCUGGGGAGUACGACCGCAAGGUUGAAACUCAAGGAAUUGACGGGGGCCCGCACAAGCGGUGGAGCAUGUGGUUUAAUUCGAAGCAACGCGAAGAACCUUACCAGUCUUGACAUCCUUUGACACUCUAGAGAUAGAGCUUCCCUUCGGGGCAAGUGACA